AACGAACGCUGGCGGCAGGCUUAACACAUGCAAGUCGAGCGCCCCGCAAGGGGAGCGGCAGACGGGUGAGUAACGCGUGGGAACAUACCCUUUGGUUCGGAAUAACUCAGGGAAACUUGAGCUAAUACCGGAUACGUCCGUAAGGAGAAAGAUUUAUCGCCAAAGGAUUGGCCCGCGUCCGAUUAGCUAGUUGGUGAGGUAACGGCUCACCAAGGCUACGAUCGGUAGCUGGUCUGAGAGGAUGAUCAGCCACAUUGGGACUGAGACACGGCCCAAACUCCUACGGGAGGCAGCAGUGGGGAAUAUUGGACAAUGGGCGCAAGCCUGAUCCAGCCAUGCCGCGUGAGUGAUGAAGGCCUUAGGGUUGUAAAGCUCUUUGUCCGGGAAGGAUAAUGACUGUACCGGAAGAAUAAGCCCCGGCUAACUUCGUGCCAGCAGCCGCGGUAAAGUGACUACUG
RNAcentral lists this ribosomal RNA (458 nucleotides) under uncultured bacterium. RNAcentral's name for it is "bacterial SSU rRNA". It matches the Rfam family "Bacterial small subunit ribosomal RNA", at positions 29 to 531 of the family's 1533-position model. The record is from RNAcentral.